This 78-nucleotide transfer RNA is filed under the name Streptomyces tanashiensis. Its description in RNAcentral is "tRNA-Ser". The record is from RNAcentral. Lineage: Bacteria; Bacillati; Actinomycetota; Actinomycetes; Kitasatosporales; Streptomycetaceae.
CCAGCGCUGGGCGUUGGCCGAGGUGCAGGCGGUCUGGAUGAUCGCCUGGCCCCCUUCGUUCGAGUCGGUGGAGAUGGC